This 459-nucleotide ribosomal RNA is filed under the name Salmonella enterica. RNAcentral describes it as "bacterial SSU rRNA". It matches the Rfam family "Bacterial small subunit ribosomal RNA", at positions 1 to 456 of the family's 1533-position model. Lineage: Bacteria; Pseudomonadati; Pseudomonadota; Gammaproteobacteria; Enterobacterales; Enterobacteriaceae. The record is from RNAcentral.
AAAUUGAAGAGUUUGAUCAUGGCUCAGAUUGAACGCUGGCGGCAGGCCUAACACAUGCAAGUCGAACGGUAACAGGAAGCAGCUUGCUGCUUUGCUGACGAGUGGCGGACGGGUGAGUAAUGUCUGGGAAACUGCCUGAUGGAGGGGGAUAACUACUGGAAACGGUGGCUAAUACCGCAUAACGUCGCAAGACCAAAGAGGGGGACCUUCGGGCCUCUUGCCAUCAGAUGUGCCCAGAUGGGAUUAGCUUGUUGGUGAGGUAACGGCUCACCAAGGCGACGAUCCCUAGCUGGUCUGAGAGGAUGACCAGCCACACUGGAACUGAGACACGGUCCAGACUCCUACGGGAGGCAGCAGUGGGGAAUAUUGCACAAUGGGCGCAAGCCUGAUGCAGCCAUGCCACGUGUAUGAAGAAGGCCUUCGGGUUGUAAAGUACUUUCAGCGGGGAGGAAGGUGUUG